CCUAUAAGACUGGGAUAACUUCGGGAAACCGGAGCUAAUACCGGAUAAUAUAUUGAACCGCNAUGGUUCAAUAGUGAAAGACGGUUUUGCUGUCACUUAUAGAUGGAUCCGCGCCGCAUUAGCUAGUUGGUAAGGUAACGGCUUACCAAGGCAACGAUGCGUAGCCGACCUGGGAGGGUGAUCGGCCACACUGGAACUGAGACACGGUCCAGACUCCUACGGGAGGCAGCAGCC
RNAcentral lists this ribosomal RNA (234 nucleotides) under uncultured Staphylococcus sp. RNAcentral describes it as "partial 16S ribosomal RNA". It matches the Rfam family "Bacterial small subunit ribosomal RNA", at positions 129 to 355 of the family's 1533-position model. Lineage: Bacteria; Bacillati; Bacillota; Bacilli; Caryophanales; Staphylococcaceae. The record is from RNAcentral.